CUACGGGGGGCUGCAGUGGGGAAUAUUGCACAAUGGAGGAAACUCUGAUGCAGCAACGCCGCGUGGAGGAUGACACUUUUCGGAGCGUAAACUCCUUUUAUAUAGGAAGAAGAUGACGGUACUAUAUGAAUAAGCGCCGGCUAACUCCGUGCCAGCAGCCGCGGUAAUACGGAGGGCGCAAGCGUUACUCGGAAUCACUGGGCGUAAAGAGCGUGUAGGCGGAUUAAAAAGUCAGAAGUGAAAUCCUAUAGCUUAACUAUAGAACUGCUUCUGAAACUCUUAAUCUAGAAUAUGGGAGAGGUAGAUGGAAUUUCUGGUGUAGGGGUAAAAUCCGUAGAGAUCAGAAGGAAUACCGAUUGCGAAGGCGACCUGCUAGAACAUUAUUGACGCUGAGACGCGAAAGCGUGGGGAGCAAACAGGAUUAGAUACCCUAGUAGUC
Molecule: ribosomal RNA, 439 nt
Filed under: uncultured bacterium
Lineage: Bacteria
Description: partial 16S ribosomal RNA
Rfam family: Bacterial small subunit ribosomal RNA
Source: RNAcentral